This 344-nucleotide ribosomal RNA is filed under the name uncultured bacterium. RNAcentral's name for it is "partial 16S ribosomal RNA". It matches the Rfam family "Bacterial small subunit ribosomal RNA", at positions 338 to 679 of the family's 1533-position model. The record is from RNAcentral.
CCUACGGGUGGCAGCAGUGAGGAAUAUUGGUCAAUGGGCGCGAGCCUGAACCAGCCAAGUAGCGUGAAGGAUGACUGCCCUACGGGUUGUAAACUUCUUGUAUAAAGGAAUAAAGUGAGGCACGUGUGCCUUUGUGGAUGUACUUUAUGAAUAAGGAGCGGCUAACUCCGUGCCAGCAGCCGCGGUAAGACGGAGGAUCCGAGCGUUAUCCGGAUUUAGUGGGUUUAAAGGGAGCGUAGAUGGGUUGUUAAGUCAGUUGUGCAAGUUUGCGGCUCAACCGUAAAAUUGCAAUUGAUACUGGCAGCCUUGCGUACAGUUGAGGUAGGCGGAAUUCGUGGUGUCGC